CAGUCGCCGCGGUAAUACGAAGGGGGCUAGCGUUGUUCGGAUUUACUGGGCGUAAAGCGCACGUAGGCGGACUUUUAAGUCAGGGGUGAAAUCCCGGGGCUCAACCCCGGAACUGCCUUUGAUACUGGAAGUCUUGAGUAUGGUAGAGGUGAGUGGAAUUCCGAGUGUAGAGGUGAAAUUCGUAGAUAUUCGGAGGAACACCAGUGGCGAAGGCGGCUCACUGGGCCAUUACUGACGCUGAGGUGCGAAAGCGUGGGGAGCAAACAGGAUUAGAUACCCGUGUAGUCCCUGUCUCUUAUAC
This 301-nucleotide ribosomal RNA is filed under the name uncultured bacterium. RNAcentral describes it as "partial 16S ribosomal RNA". It matches the Rfam family "Bacterial small subunit ribosomal RNA", at positions 509 to 807 of the family's 1533-position model. The record is from RNAcentral.